Molecule: ribosomal RNA, 261 nt
Filed under: uncultured prokaryote
Description: partial 16S ribosomal RNA
Rfam family: Bacterial small subunit ribosomal RNA
Source: RNAcentral
UACGGAGGAUGCGAGCGUUAUCCGGAUUUAUUGGGUUUAAAGGGUGCGUAGGCGGCUUUUUAAGUCAGCGGUGAAAUUUUGCAGCUUAACUGUAACAGUGCCGUUGAUACUGCAUGGCUAGGAUUUGGUUGCUGUGGGUGGAAUUCCAUGUGUAGCGGUGAAAUGCGUAGAGAUGUGGAGGAACACCAGUGGCGAAGGCGGCUUCCUGGUCUGUAACUGACACUGAGGCGCGAAAGCGUGGGGAGCAAACAGGAUUAGAUA